This is a long non-coding RNA of Alligator mississippiensis (American alligator), 572 nucleotides long. RefSeq lists it as uncharacterized. The transcript is spliced from 3 exons. Lineage: Eukaryota; Metazoa; Chordata; Crocodylia; Alligatoridae. The record is from RefSeq and is a predicted model, not a curated record.
CUAUAUAAAUAGAUCAGUUCCUUGCUGAGGGGCCAGGCAGCAACAUUGCUUGGCUGCAAGGCUGCUGGUAUCAUCCUGGAGAGUGGACAGUGAAAUUAAAAGGAAUAAGGCAUAAAAGGAAAUCUCUUCUACUUCCAUUCAAAAAUCUCUGACCUGUGGAACUCUGCUGCAGGAUUUUAUUGUACAAGACCUUCAACAGAUGCACAGACUCAAACCUUGGAAAACAUACAAAGCCUGCAGUACUGCUUAAAUUAGAUACAAAGUGCUAUGCUACUGCAAUGUUAUGGUCGAGACUUCUGCACAAACAGACAAGUGAAUAAAUUUAAGGUAUGGGUCCCACUGUGACAGGAAUUUGGUCAUUUUGUAGGCAUUUGUUGCUUAGUUUUCUGCUUGAAUAUAUAUAAUACAGUUGCUAUGUUAUGCUUUGAAUUCACUGUAGGUAAAUAUCAAUCAUGAUGCUGCAUUAAUGUCAUUUCUUAUUUUUAUGCUCAUUUUUUAAAUAAAUAUAAUUAUUGAGAUAUAGCAUGCUGCACAAAAUUCUGUCGCAUAUAAGUUCUUCUAUGUCAGGGGUG